This 58-nucleotide microRNA precursor is filed under the name Dasypus novemcinctus (nine-banded armadillo). RNAcentral describes it as "Dno-Mir-1247_pre stem-loop". The record is from RNAcentral. Lineage: Eukaryota; Metazoa; Chordata; Mammalia; Cingulata; Dasypodidae.
ACCCGUCCCGUGCGUCCCCGGACGUCGCUCUCCGGCCCGGGAACUUCGAGACUGGAGC